Molecule: ribosomal RNA, 592 nt
Filed under: Salmonella enterica subsp. enterica serovar Ouakam
Lineage: Bacteria; Pseudomonadati; Pseudomonadota; Gammaproteobacteria; Enterobacterales; Enterobacteriaceae
Description: partial 23S ribosomal RNA
Rfam family: Bacterial large subunit ribosomal RNA
Source: RNAcentral
UGUUUGAUGUUCUAACGUGGACCCGUUAGCCGGGUUGCGGACAGUGUCUGGUGGGUAGUUUGACUGGGGCGGUCUCCUCCUAAAGAGUAACGGAGGAGCACGAAGGUUGGCUAAUCCUGGUCGGACAUCAGGAGGUUAGUGCAAUGGCAUAAGCCAGCUUGACUGCGAGCGUGACGGCGCGAGCAGGUGCGAAAGCAGGUCAUAGUGAUCCGGUGGUUCUGAAUGGAAGGGCCAUCGCUCAACGGAUAAAAGGUACUCCGGGGAUAACAGGCUGAUACCGCCCAAGAGUUCAUAUCGACGGCGGUGUUUGGCACCUCGAUGUCGGCUCAUCACAUCCUGGGGCUGAAGUAGGUCCCAAGGGUAUGGCUGUUCGCCAUUUAAAGUGGUACGCGAGCUGGGUUUAGAACGUCGUGAGACAGUUCGGUCCCUAUCUGCCGUGGGCGCUGGAGAACUGAGGGGGGCUGCUCCUAGUACGAGAGGACCGGAGUGGACGCAUCACUGGUGUUCGGGUUGUCAUGCCAAUGGCACUGCCCGGUAGCUAAAUGCGGAAGAGAUAAGUGCUGAAAGCAUCUAAGCACGAAACUUGCCCCGA